AGUGAUAUUGUGCUGUUUAUGGACUGACACGCUACUUCUGGAAAGCGUGUAUACCCCAAAAGGGUAUCGGGGGUUCGAAUCCCCCUCACUCCG
RNAcentral lists this transfer RNA (93 nucleotides) under Bacteroides sp. RNAcentral's name for it is "tRNA-OTHER". Lineage: Bacteria; Pseudomonadati; Bacteroidota; Bacteroidia; Bacteroidales; Bacteroidaceae. The record is from RNAcentral.